GAUUAAGUUAUUAAGGGCGCACGGUGGAUGCCUUGGCACUAGAAGCCGAUGAAGGACGUUACUAACGACGAUAUGCUUUGGGUAGCUGUAAGUAAGCGUUGAUCCAGAGAUUUCCGAAUGGGGGAACCCAGCAUGAGUUAUGUCAUGUUAUCGACAUGUGAAUUCAUAGCAUGUCAGAAGGCAGACCCGGAGAACUGAAACAUCUUAGUACCCGGAGGAAGAGAAAGAAAAAUCGAUUCCCUGAGUAGCGGCGAGCGAAACGGGAAGAGCCCAAACCAACAAGCUUGCUUGUUGGGGUUGUAGGACACUCUAUACGGAGUUACAAAAGAACAUGUUAGACGAAUCAUCUGGAAAGAUGAAUCAAAGAAGGUAAUAAUCCUGUAGUCGAAAACAUAUUCUCUCUUGAGUGGAUCCUGAGUACGACGGAGCACGUGAAAUUCCGUCGGAAUCUGGGAGGACCAUCUCCUAAGGCUAAAUACUCUCUAGUGACCGAUAGUGAACCAGUACCGUGAGGGAAAGGUGAAAAGUACCCCGGAAGGGGAGUGAAAGAGAACUUGAAACCGUGUGCUUACAAGUAGUCAGAGCCCGUUAAUGGGUGAUGGCGUGCCUUUUGUAGAAUGAACCGGCGAGUUACGAUCUGAUGCAAGGUUAAGCAGCAAAUGUGGAGCCGCAGCGAAAGCGAGUCUGAAUAGGGCGUUGAGUAUUUGGUCGUAGACCCGAAACCAGGUGAUCUACCCUUGGUCAGGUUGAAGUUCAGGUAACACUGAAUGGAGGACCGAACCGACUUACGUUGAAAAGUGAGCGGAUGAACUGAGGGUAGCGGAGAAAUUCCAAUCGAACUUGGAGAUAGCUGGUUCUCUCCGAAAUAGCUUUAGGGCUAGCCUCAAGUGAUGAUUAUUGGAGGUAGAGCACUGUUUGGACGAGGGGCCCCUCUCGGGUUACCGAAUUCAGACAAACUCCGAAUGCCAAUUAAUUUAACUUGGGAGUCAGAACAUGGGUGAUAAGGUCCGUGUUCGAAAGGGAAACAGCCCAGACCACCAGCUAAGGUCCCAAAAUAUAUGUUAAGUGGAAAAGGAUGUGGCGUUGCCCAGACAACUAGGAUGUUGGCUUAGAAGCAGCCAUCAUUUAAAGAGUGCGUAAUAGCUCACUAGUCGAGUGACACUGCGCCGAAAAUGUACCGGGGCUAAACAUAUUACCGAAGCUGUGGAUUGUCCUUUGGACAAUGGUAGGAGAGCGUUCUAAGGGCGUCGAAGCAUGAUCGCAAGGACAUGUGGAGCGCUUAGAAGUGAGAAUGCCGGUGUGAGUAGCGAAAGACGGGUGAGAAUCCCGUCCACCGAUUGACUAAGGUUUCCAGAGGAAGGCUCGUCCGCUCUGGGUUAGUCGGGUCCUAAGCUGAGGCCGACAGGCGUAGGCGAUGGAUAACAGGUUGAUAUUCCUGUACCACCUAGUAUCGUUUUAAUUGAUGGGGGGACGCAGUAGGAUAGGCGAAGCGUGCUGUUGGAGUGCACGUCCAAGCAGUAAGGCUGAGUGUUAGGCAAAUCCGGCACUCAUAAGGCUGAGCUGUGAUGGGGAGAGGAAAUUGUUUCCUCGAGUCGUUGAUUUCACACUGCCGAGAAAAGCCUCUAGAUAGAUAACAGGUGCCCGUACCGCAAACCGACACAGGUAGUCAAGAUGAGAAUUCUAAGGUGAGCGAGCGAACUCUCGUUAAGGAACUCGGCAAAAUGACCCCGUAACUUCGGGAGAAGGGGUGCUCUUUAGGGUUCACGCCCAGAAGAGCCGCAGUGAAUAGGCCCAAGCGACUGUUUAUCAAAAACACAGGUCUCUGCUAAACCGUAAGGUGAUGUAUAGGGGCUGACGCCUGCCCGGUGCUGGAAGGUUAAGAGGAGUGGUUAGCUUCUGCGAAGCUACGAAUCGAAGCCCCAGUAAACGGCGGCCGUAACUAUAACGGUCCUAAGGUAGCGAAAUUCCUUGUCGGGUAAGUUCCGACCCGCACGAAAGGCGUAACGAUUUGG
Molecule: ribosomal RNA, 2012 nt
Filed under: Cutibacterium avidum
Lineage: Bacteria; Bacillati; Actinomycetota; Actinomycetes; Propionibacteriales; Propionibacteriaceae
Description: partial 23S ribosomal RNA
Rfam family: Bacterial large subunit ribosomal RNA
Source: RNAcentral